AUGGAGGACAAGAUGGCGGCCAGCUCCGGGUGUUGUCCCUUCGUCACCCAGUGUCAUCAUUUGUCACCCGGUGUCACCUGGACAUUGUCACCCAGACACCACCAGCGGUGCAUGAACAAAGGACUCAACAACAGCGUGUCCCCUUCCCAUGUUGAGAUAAUGGAGGACAAGAUGGCGGUCACCUCGGGGUGUUGUCCCUUUGUCACUCGGUGUCACAAACACCCCAAGGUGGCCAUGAAUGGAAGAAGUCACGGUGGCCAACCAACGACGCAAGGUGGCCACCAAUGGAACACAUCACGGUGGCCAACGAACACCUCAAGGUGGCCACCAAUGGAAGAUGCCAUCAUGGCCAACCAACGACCCCAAGGUGCCACCAAUGGAAGAGGUCAUGGUGGCCAACGAACACCUCAAGGUGGCCACCAAUGGAAGAGGUCAUGGUGGCCAACCAACAACCCAAGGUGGCCAUGAAUGGAACACAUGGUGGCCAUCCAACAACCCAAGUUGGCCACCAAAGGAAGACGCCAUCAUGGCCAACCAACGACCCCAUGGUGCCACCAAUGGAAGAGCUCAUGGUGGCCAACGAACACCUCAAGGUGGCCACUAAUGGAAAAUGCCAUCAUGGCCAACCAACGACCCCAAGGUUGCCAUGAAUGGAACACAUCAUGGUGGCCAACCAACGACCCAAGGUGGCCACCAAUGGAAGACGUCAUCAUGGCCAACCAACGACCCCAUGGUGACACCAAUGGAAGACGCCAUCACGGCCAACCAACGACCCCAUGGCGCCACCAAUGAAAGACGCCAUCAUGGCCAACUGACAACCCCAAGGUUGCCAUGAAACGAAUGUAUCAUGGUGGCCAACCAACAACCCCAUGGUGGCCAUGAACGGAACACAUCAUGGUGGCCAACCAACGACCCAAGGUGGCCACCAAUGGAAGAGGUCAUGUUGGCCAACCAACAACUCACGGUGACCACGUAUGGAAGCCAUCACGUUGGCCAACCCACCACCCCCAACCCGACCACCACCCCGGUAGCCAACCAACACCCCAAAGUGGCCAUAAAUGGAACACAUUGUGGUGGCCAACCAAUGGAAGACGUCAUCAUGGCCAACCAACGACCCCAAAGUGGCCAUGAAUGGA
RNAcentral lists this long non-coding RNA (1136 nucleotides) under Numida meleagris (helmeted guineafowl). RNAcentral's name for it is "lncRNA (ENSNMEG00000001571.1)". Lineage: Eukaryota; Metazoa; Chordata; Aves; Galliformes; Numididae. The record is from RNAcentral.